This is a long non-coding RNA of Sorghum bicolor (sorghum), 581 nucleotides long. RefSeq lists it as uncharacterized. The record is from RefSeq and is a predicted model, not a curated record. The transcript is spliced from 2 exons. Lineage: Eukaryota; Viridiplantae; Streptophyta; Magnoliopsida; Poales; Poaceae.
AGCGAAGCAGAGGCCUGCAGAAAGUGCAACAAUGGCCAAUCGUGCUUGACAAGGGCGGGGCUGCUGCUCCGAGCGCCUAUUAUCCUCACAGGUCACAGGCCAUGUGCUCAGCCCGUCAGCCGUACCUUCUUCGCCAGGUUUCUCAAGGAGGCGGCAACAAGCUUUGAAACCAUGACUGCACGGAUUUGCAGAGGGUUCUGUUGUCCUCAGAAUUUGACAGAAUGUAUUACAAGGUUCGUUGUGACAAAAAAAUGAAAUAAAAUCAACAGUCUUAUGCAGACUGUAUUGCUACUUGUCCACCUAUGCGAAAUUACAAUAAUUGGUCUGAAAGAUAAAUCUUUGGACGCGUCUGGCCAACUUCUGUCCCUUGUUGCCAUUGCUGAAAGCUUCACAAGGCAUAUGAAUUUUGGCGCGACGACGCUCUGGUGCAGUGGUGUAGCAGAAAAAUGCAAGGAUGUAAGCCUUUUGCAUAGAGCCAAAUAUUGCCGGCGGGCUGGAUAUGCUUCCUCUCUAGCCUAUAUCAAGUACAGUAUUUUUCAGAGAUGGAACGAACGGUUCGUCCUUUUCUCCCGUUGUUUCAA